Molecule: ribosomal RNA, 252 nt
Filed under: uncultured bacterium
Lineage: Bacteria
Description: partial 16S ribosomal RNA
Rfam family: Bacterial small subunit ribosomal RNA
Source: RNAcentral
UACGUAGGGGGCAAGCGUUAUCCGGAUUUACUGGGUGUAAAGGGAGCGUAGACGGCAAUGCAAGUCUGGAGUGAAAGGCGGGGGCCCAACCCCCGGACUGCUCUGGAAACUGUAUAGCUGGAGUGCAGGAGAGGUAAGUGGAAUUCCUAGUGUAGCGGUGAAAUGCGUAGAUAUUAGGAGGAACACCAGUGGCGAAGGCGGCUUACUGGACUGUAACUGACGUUGAGGCUCAAAGCGUGGGGAGCAAACAGG